This 481-nucleotide ribosomal RNA is filed under the name uncultured bacterium. Its description in RNAcentral is "partial 16S ribosomal RNA". It matches the Rfam family "Bacterial small subunit ribosomal RNA", at positions 29 to 506 of the family's 1533-position model. The record is from RNAcentral.
AUUGAACGCUGGCGGCAUGCUUUACACAUGCAAGUCGAACGGUAACAGGCCGCAAGGUGCUGACGAGUGGCGAACGGGUGAGUAAUGCAUCGGAACGUGCCCAGUCGUGGGGGAUAACUACUCGAAAGAGUAGCUAAUACCGCAUACGAUCUAUGGAUGAAAGCGGGGGACCGUAAGGCCUCGCGCGAUUGGAGCGGCCGAUGUCAGAUUAGGUAGUUGGUGGGGUAAAGGCUCACCAAGCCAACGAUCUGUAGCUGGUCUGAGAGGACGACCAGCCACAUUGGGACGGGAACACGGCCCCAACCCCUAGGGGAGGCAGAAGUGGGGAAUUUUGGAAAAUGGGCGAAAGCCUGACCCAGCAAUGCCGGGGGAAGGAAGAAGGCCUUCGGGUUGUAAACUGGUUUUAUAGGGAACGAAACGGCUCCGGUUAAACCCCGGGGCUAAUGACGGUACCGAAAGAAAAAGCCCCGGCAAACUACGU